AUUAAGUUUAAUUUAAUAUAGGAUCUGCUCAAUGAUUUAUUAAAUAGCUGCAGUAUUUUGACUGUGCAAAGGUAGCAUAAUAAUUAGUCUUUUAAUUGAGGACUUGUAUGAAAGAUUUGAUGAGAAAUAAACUUUAUUAUUUAUAUAAUUAAAAUUUUAUUUUUAAGUAAAAAAGCUUAAAUUAUUUAAAGGGACGAUAAGACCCUAUAAAACUUUAUAAAUGAUAAUUUUAAUUUUUUUGGAUUUAUAAAUAUUUUAAUUUUAUUAUUUAUUUUAUUGGGGUGAUAAAAAAAAUUUUUAAACUUUUUUUAAAAUUUUACAUUAUUUAAUGAAUAUUUGAAUUAAAAUUUUUAAUUAAAGGAAAAAGUUACUUUAGGGAUAACAGCGUAAUUAAUUUUUUAAGUUCAAAUUUGAAAAUUAGUUUGCGACCUCGAUGUUGAAUUAAGAUUAAUCUUAGGUGCAAAAUUUUAAGUAUUAGGUCUGUUCGACCUUUAAAUUCUUACGUGA
Molecule: ribosomal RNA, 507 nt
Filed under: Macrosiphum euphorbiae (potato aphid)
Lineage: Eukaryota; Metazoa; Arthropoda; Insecta; Hemiptera; Aphididae
Description: partial 16S ribosomal RNA
Source: RNAcentral